CUCAACAGUAGCAAAUUGCAGUUCGAUUUCGGCUCGAAAAGAGGAGAAACUCUCCCUGUUGAGU
This 64-nucleotide transfer RNA is filed under the name Notomastus sp. GK-2021. RNAcentral describes it as "tRNA-Arg". The record is from RNAcentral. Lineage: Eukaryota; Metazoa; Annelida; Polychaeta; Capitellidae.